UUUCGAUUCACUUUUUAGUAGGUUUAAUAGAUUUUAAUACUUAUGUUUAUGAAACAUCAUGAAAGAACAUGUAAUAAUUAGAAGUACAAAGUUAAUAAUGCCUCAUUAUUGAAGAAGGUUGUUAUUUAAGCCGAAAGUAAAAUUGGUGGGUUUAAACGGGUCGAAUUUUAUGUGCAUGUGUUGCGUAAUGUAAUGAAAUUCGUUAUGGUUAAGACCUUGGGUAAGAAUUUUUAGUCAAUUAUGUAAGGGGAACAUUUUCCGGACCAUUAGGAACAAGUUUUAUAUAUGAUUCGGUUGUUUAUGGGUCAAGAUAUGGUAGUUUUAAUGUUUAAAAUGGAAGUUGAGCUGGGCACUACCGUAGCUUACGGUAGCCACCGUAAGCUACGGUGGGUUCUGAAGUCUUUCGGGCCACCGUAAGGCAGCAGCACUUCACCGUAAGGGUUUUAUGGCCACCGUAAGCUACGGUAGCCACCGUAGCUUACGGUGGAGCUGUCGCGCCCCGCGUAAUAGUAAGCUAUGGCUUACGCGGCCCACGAGGGACCGUGCUUUUGGCUUUUUGCUGAAAUUGUGAUGUUUUGAGUAUGAGACUUGUCUAAAAAUGAUUUUUCUAAGGCCACGUACGUUAUGAUAAGGAUGGUUUCAUAUAUCAAUGAUUUAAAGGUUGUCGGUUAGUGAAUGAACCGAUCGUUUCGUGUUAGUGUAGGAAAAUUUAUAAGUAUAUGUGUAUAGGAAUCCAAAAGGCACGUGGGUUGAAUCAUAGAUUGUCUAUGCUAUGUAAGGUUGGGAAUGUGUCAUUCUGGCAUAAACCUACAUGUAAGAAAUGGUAAAAGAAGCUUGUGUAUAUAUUCAUGAUUAAUUGAUUGUGCGUAUGAAGGAAUCAUUGGCAUGUAUGAAGGUACGCAUGUAUAUAUAAGUAUAUAUAUAUAUAUAUAUAUGUAUGUAUGUACGUAUGUAUGAUAAUAAGUACGUAGGUAUGAAUGUAUGUGUGAAUGAAUGUUCAAUGCUUAAGACAUAUGCAUGAACGUUAUCAAAGUGUUCGAGUAUUUAUGUUACUAAUGAUGUGCGUUGAGUUGGAAUGUAAUGUAAGUAUGGGAUUGUUGGCUUCAUGAAGAAAUGGAGCUGGAUUUGGAUAAGAGUAUUUAAGAAAGCGCUUGGACAAUUCCAUGAUUACUUUAUGGAAUGCUCUACGAAAUUCUAUUAUAUAGGUUAAUGUUGUAUGGUAUGUUAAUGACUAAUGGUUUGGUUGUACGUGGUGUCCACAGGUAUCGCUUGGGUUUUCUCUACAUUUAUUGAAGUCAAGCAGGGCUUAGUUCGAGUUGAGAGCAAGGAUUGUACGGGGUAGAACGAUCACACAAUGAGAUUUAUAUAAGUCUUGAUGUGUAAAUCUGUUUAAAUGAAUAUAUGGUAUUUCGUAUUUGAACCUUCAUAUGAUUGACAUGUCUAAUAAAGAACGAAAUUUUUGGACUCAUGUUUUCCAUUGCGUCGUAUUUAAGUUCUUAUAAGUUGGUCAAACAGGGAAUUGCUCUUAUUACGAACGGGUCAUGCCCGAAUUUUAUUAUAAUAAUAGCAUGAUAAUAUUACUUUCGGAUUUGGAAAUCUGGGUGUUACAAGUUGGUAUCAGAGCCCUGGUUUGAGCGAAAUCAAGUAUGAUGAGGCAAAUACUUGAACUCAAACCUACGCGCUCUUGUGAUCAGGAACCCGUACAAUCCGAGACUCGAUCAAGAUCUAAAGGUGGAAGCGAAUGUAAGUGUGUACUUAAGUAUGUAUUUGAAAACUAACAGUAUGUCAUGUGUAAGGUAAGGAUAAUUGCUUGGAAGAGGAUGAUUCGUGAAUGCGGUCUAGGACCGACACCAAGGUAUGUAAUGAGACCAUUGCCCAGGUACGUAAAUUUUGCAUAAGGGUGCAUGUAAUGCUAAAAGUUAUCGAGUGAAGGAAAAUUUUAAUGAAAUAUAAUAAUAUAAUGGAAACGAAGUUAUGAAAAUGUUACACGUGCCGAAACCUAAUUCUUCGGACAUAAGGUGACGAUUACACGAAGACACGAAACUAGUAUGUGGAUUGUGUACCUGGCCAGUACACAAGAAACAUAUGAUGUUCGUGAGACCGUAAUGAUUGUUACAGGUAUGUCAGUUAGAAUUAGGUAGUGGGUGGACAUGAGGGUGAAAAGAAAUGUAAGACUUUCUGAAAUGAAAGUAUGAAUGAUAUGUUAGAAUCCGCGAGACGGAUUCGAAACAUGAAAGGAAUGAAAGUAUGAAUGAUAUGUUAGAAUCCGCGAGACGGAUUCGAAACAUGAAAGGAAUGAAAGUAUGAAAGAUAUGUUAGAAUCCGCGAGAUGGAUUCGAAACAAAGAAGGAAAGAAAGUAUGAAUGAUAUGUUAGAAACCGCGUGACGGUUAGAAACAUAAUAAACGAUAAGAAUGAAAAGAUUCGAAGUUGUAGGUAAUUACGGACUAAGGAAUUAAAUAUUCUUUAAAAAGCAAAUAUUAUCCAAGUUAUGUCUUAAACUUAUAUAUAUAUACAAAUAUGUUUAUAUGCAAGAAUGGUUAAAGAGACGAAUGAGUCAUGCAGGUCAAAUGGUAAUCGCCAUUUAAACCGAUAUUUAGUGUUUUGAUUUGUUAAGUUUUAUACUUGUAGGUGAGCAUAAUGUUUGGCACGUAAACCUAAAUUUUGACGAAAGAAAGAAGUUUUGAACAUGUUAUGUUUUAGAUGUGUUAGUAAUCGACUCUUAGGAGUCGUAAUAAAUGACGGGCUACGAUCCGGACAAUAAUUUAAGUAUAAUUGGGAAGGGUAAGUUAUGGCAAGAAUACUGAAUUGAUGUAAUGAAUGUCUUGGCAAGUAAGCAUGAAUGAAAAAGGAGUAAGAACGUGUACUUUAAUACAUAUACGAUAAAUAAGACAUGUCAGUUUGACCUCGAAAAGUCAAACUGUAAAGGUUGACGAAAUAAGAAACUGGAAUAAAAGAAUUGCAUGUAAGGGAUGAAAUGUGGGAUGUGUUAUAGCAUGUAUGUAGGAAGAAGUAAAGGGAUAAUAGGUGGGUAUCAUCUAGUAUAAUGAUUGUUUGAAUGAAAGGUGCUAAUCGACAAUUUUGUAGAUGUUAAUGGUGGAAUUCUGAAUAUGAUGAAACCAAUCGAAUUGUUGAAAGAAUGUGCACGAGUGGAAGCCCAUUACAAGAAUGAAUGAAAGCUGGCCUGGUACGGUUAGUACUUGUGAAGAAGCGGAUCAAUAUGGUUUACGGAUCGCUGAAGUAUGAAAUGAAAUCAAGGUAAGUAAAAUGUUUUAACUCAUGCCAGAUAGAUAUGGAUUAGUAAAUUGAAAACGGCUUACGAGAUGAGUGAUGGGAUAGGUAUGGUAUGGUAUGGAAUGUUUGACUUUAAUAGUUGACGUUAGAAGAAAACUAUGCCAUUAAGAACUAAAUCUUGAAGGUUUUGAGCAAAAAAAAAUAUAAAAAAAAAUAAAAAAUUUCGGGUAUUAGUUAAGCUCUCGUCUAAUGAACUUGCAUGACGUGCUUGCUUAUGCGACUUAAGUAAUGCAUGAAAUGAAAGGAAUAGUAAUGUAGAAUGAAUGAGGUGAGUUGAAGGUAACGUAAGGGUAUGCAUGGUACAAACCACUAUAGGAAAUGUAGAAUGAUGUUGACCUUGGUGUUAAGCACGUACGCGUGACCAUGAAAUAGAAACUUCGUUGUGAUAACAAAAUAAUAAUUAAAUGUUAUGUAAUAAAUGUAAAGAAUGAAAUCUUAAAGGAUGAGGUGAAGGUAUUAGAUCUGUUAUGAACGGAUUGUAUGAAUGUAAGUAUUAUUACAAGUUUGAAUAAGUAUGUAUAUUAACCUAUUACUAACGGGUCAAGGAAAUGAGGAUGUUAGGUGGAAGUAUGGUAUAGAAAGUAUAGACUUGUUAGAAAAAAAAAAGUCAAUUGAAUGAAUAAUAUAUGAACUGAGAUCGGAUGGUUACUUAUAAUUAUGAUGCAAUUGUUAAAGUUAAACAUAAAGGGGGUAUGUAUAAAUUACGAAGGGGAGAUAUUAGUAUCAAAUGGAAACGAGAAAGAGGUUUCGGGGACGAAACCUCCUUUAAGGGGGGUAGAUUUGUAACAUCCCAAAACGCGAAUUUUAAAAUUCGUUAGAAGGGUACCAUGUUUAAUUAAAUAAAUAUAAUAACUAAGUUAUUAAACUUGGUUAAAUGUUUAAGAAAACAAUCAAGGGAAGGAAAUUACUACAUUUGUGAUCAAGUAACAACUAGAGGGGCCAAGGUUGUCAAUAAAGAGGAAAGUUUAUGUUUAAUUAAAAUAAAAAAUUAAAACCCCAAAAAAAAAUACACACUCAGUGUGUGUGUGUGGGUCGAUGUUCGACCAGGAGAGAAGGGAAAAGGGGUAAAACCCUAGAUCACCAAAAUCCAUCAAAUUGAAGGAGGAUUGAAGGGCUAAUCGAAUGCAUGAACCAGGAAUGUCGAUCAUUUAAGUGUUUCUACCAUCAUGAACGUGUCAAGGAGAGGUCAAGCAUAGGAGGAUAACGGGUCAAGAUAAGGCAAGGUGACAAAUACACUUAUUGGAGUACUCAAGGUAAGUGAAUUUCGAUUCACUUUUUAGUAGGUUUAAUAGAUUUUAAUACUUAUGUUUAUGAAACAUCAUGAAAGAACAUGUAAUAAUUAGAAGUACAAAGUUAAUAAUGCCUCAUUAUUGAAGAAGGUUGUUAUUUAAGCCGAAAGUAAAAUUGGUGGGUUUAAACGGGUCGAAUUUUAUGUGCAUGUGUUGCGUAAUGUAAUGAAAUUCGUUAUGGUUAAGACCUUGGGUAAGAAUUUUUAGUCAAUUAUGUAAGGGGAACAUUUUCCGGACCAUUAGGAACAAGUUUUAUAUAUGAUUCUGUUGUGUAUGGGUCAAGAUAUGAUAGUUUUAAUGUUUAAAAUGGAAGUUGAGCUGGGCACUACCGUAGCUUACGGUAGCCACCGUAAGCUACGGUGGGUUCUGAAGUCUUUCGGGCCACCGUAAGGCAGCAGCACUUCACCGUAAGGGUUUUAUGGCCACCGUAAGCUACGGUAGCCACCGUAGCUUACGGUGGAGCUGUCGCGCCCCGCGUAAUAGUAAGCUAUGGCUUACGCGGCCCGCGAGGGACCGUGCUGUCGGCUUUUUGCUGAAAUUGUGAUGUUUUGAGUAUGAGACUUGUCUAAAAAUGAUUUUUCUAAGGCCACGUACGUUAUGAUAAGGAUGGUUUCAUAUAUCAAUGAUGUAAAGGUUGUCGGUUAGUGAAUGAACCGAUCGUUUCGUGUUAGUGUAGGAAAAUUUAUAAGUAUAUGUGUAUAGGAAUCCAAAAGGCACGUGGGUUGAAUCAUAGAUUGUCUAUGCUAUGUAAGGUUGGGAAUGUGUCAUUCUGGCAUAAACCUACAUGUAAGAAAUGGUAAAAGAAGCUUGUGUAUAUAUUCGUGAUUAAUUGAUUGUGCGUAGGAAGUAAUCAUUGGCAUGUAUGAAGGUACGCAUGUAUAUAUAAGUAUAUAUAUAUAUAUAUAUAUAUAUAUGUACGUAUGUAUGAUAAUAAGUACGUAGGUAUGAAUGUAUGUGUGAAUGAAUGUUCAAUGCUUAAGACAUAUGCAUGAACGUUAUCAAAGUGUUCGAGUAUUUAUGGUUACUAAUGAUGUGCGUUGAGUUGGAAUGUAAUGUAGGUAUGGGAUUGUUGGCUUCAUGAAGAAAUGGAGCUGGAUUUGGAUAAGAGUAUUUAAGAAAGCGCUUGGACAAUUCCAUGAUUACUUUAUGGAAUGCUCUACGAAAUUCUAUUAUGUAGGUUAAUGUUGUAUGGUAUGUUAAUGACUAAUGGUUUGGUUGUACGUGGUGUCCACAGGUAUCGCUUGGGUUUUCUCUACAUUUAUUGAAGUCAAGCAGGGCUUAGUUCGAGUUGAGAGCAAGGAUUGUACGGGGUAGAACGAUCACACAAUGAGAUUUAUAUAAGUCUUGAUGUGUAAAUCUGUUUAAAUGAAUAUAUGGUAUUUCGUAUUUGAACCUUCAUGUGAUUGACAUGUCUAAUAAAGAACGAAAUUUUUGGACUCA
Long non-coding RNA from Helianthus annuus (common sunflower), 6022 nucleotides. RefSeq lists it as uncharacterized. The transcript is spliced from 2 exons. The record is from RefSeq and is a predicted model, not a curated record. Lineage: Eukaryota; Viridiplantae; Streptophyta; Magnoliopsida; Asterales; Asteraceae.